GGGUGAGUAACACGUGGAUAACCUACCUAUAAGACUGGGAUAACUUCGGGAAACCGGAGCUAAUACCGGAUAAUAUUUUGAACCGCAUGGUUCAAAAGUGAAAGACGGUCUUGCUGUCACUUAUAGAUGGAUCCGCGCUGCAUUAGCUAGUUGGUAAGGUAACGGCUUACCAAGGCAACGAUGCAUAGCCGGCCUGAGAGGGUGAUCGGCCACACUGGAACUGAGACACGGUCCAG
This 236-nucleotide ribosomal RNA is filed under the name uncultured Staphylococcus sp. RNAcentral describes it as "partial 16S ribosomal RNA". It matches the Rfam family "Bacterial small subunit ribosomal RNA", at positions 104 to 334 of the family's 1533-position model. The record is from RNAcentral. Lineage: Bacteria; Bacillati; Bacillota; Bacilli; Caryophanales; Staphylococcaceae.